This 856-nucleotide ribosomal RNA is filed under the name uncultured bacterium. Its description in RNAcentral is "bacterial SSU rRNA". It matches the Rfam family "Bacterial small subunit ribosomal RNA", at positions 22 to 879 of the family's 1533-position model. The record is from RNAcentral.
GCUCAGAGCGAACGUUUGCGGCGGGCCUAACACAUGCAAGUCGAACGGGCUAGCAAUAGUCAGUGGCGCACGGGUGCGUAACACGUGGGUAAUCAACCCUUCAGCUCGGGAUAACGCCUUGAAAGGGGCGCUAAUACCGGAUACGACGCGAGGAUCUUCGGAGCUUCGCGGGAAAGAUUCGCAAGGAUCUCUGAAGGACGAGCCUGCGGCCCAUCAGCUAGUUGGUGAGGUAAGAGCUCACCAAGGCGAAGACGGGUAGCUGGUCUGAGAGGAUGAUCAGCCACACUGGAACUGAGACACGGUCCAGACUCCUACGGGAGGCAGCAGUGGGGAAUAUUGCGCAAUGGGCGAAAGCCUGACGCAGCCACGCCGCGUGAGCGAUGAAGGCCUUCGGGUCGUAAAGCUCUGUGGGGAGAGAAGAAUAAAGCCUGUGAAGAAUGGGCCUUGACGGUAUCUCCUUAGCAAGCACCGGCUAACUCCGUGCCAGCAGCCGCGGUAAUACGGAGGGUGCAAACGUUGCUCGGAAUCAUUGGGCGUAAAGCGCACGUAGGCGGCGAAGCAAGUCGGGUGUGAAAGCCCUGGGCUCAACCCAGGAAGUGCAUUCGAAACUAUUUCGCUUGAAUCUCGGAGGGGGUCAGAGAAUUCCCGGUGUAGAGGUGAAAUUCGUAGAUAUCGGGAGGAAUACCAGUGGCGAAGGCGCUGACCUGGACGAAGAUUGACGCUGAGGUGCGAAAGCGCGGGGAGCAAACAGGAUUAGAUACCCUGGUAGUCCGCGCUGUAAACGAUGAGUGCUAGACGGUGGAGGUAUUGACCCCUUCGCUGCCGAAGCUAACGCGUUAAGCACUCCGCCUGGGGA